Molecule: ribosomal RNA, 253 nt
Filed under: uncultured bacterium
Lineage: Bacteria
Description: partial 16S ribosomal RNA
Rfam family: Bacterial small subunit ribosomal RNA
Source: RNAcentral
UACGGGGGGGGCUAGCGUUGUUCGGAAUUACUGGGCGUAAAGCGCACGUAGGCGGAUUUGUUAGUCAGUGGUGAAAUCCCGGGGCUCAACCUCGGUACUGCCAUUGAUACUGCAAGUCUCGAGUCCGGAAGAGGUGAGUGGAAUUCCUAGUGUAGAGGUGAAAUUCGUAGAUAUUAGGAAGAACACCAGUGGCGAAGGCGGCUCACUGGUCCGGUACUGACGCUGAGGCGCGAAAGCGUGGGGAGCAAACAGG